RNAcentral lists this unclassified non-coding RNA (233 nucleotides) under plant metagenome. Its description in RNAcentral is "partial contains small subunit ribosomal RNA, internal transcribed spacer 1, and 5.8S ribosomal RNA". The record is from RNAcentral.
UUUCCGUAGGUGAACCUGCGGAUGGAUCAGUAAUGGCUUUUGAAACUUCAGGCUCCUGCUGUCUCCCCCCUGAGGCCAUGUGCACGCUUGUUCUCCAUUAUGUCUCCCACUGUCCAGAAAUUGUCGGCCUUCCAAUAGGCCUAUGUUGUUUCUCACAAUCUCUGACUGUAAUAGAAUGGUUUAGAAUCUUGGGAAACACAAAACAACUUUCAGCAACGGAUCUCUUGGCUCUC